Molecule: long non-coding RNA, 561 nt
Organism: Eriocheir sinensis (Chinese mitten crab)
Lineage: Eukaryota; Metazoa; Arthropoda; Malacostraca; Decapoda; Varunidae
Exons: 2
Source: RefSeq, a predicted model, not a curated record
CUUGGUCACUAUAACUACUGUAGGCAGACACACUUCAGAAGUGGAUCUUCAUGUGCCUGGCAAUGUCUCUCUUUGUCUUAAAGAGCUUUCCACAAACAUCACACUUGAACUCUCUAAGGCCAUAGUGCCUGAAGACAUGUCGAUUGAGUGCCUGCUUCACACUGAACCUCUUCCCGCACUCUUCACACUCAUGAUUUUUUACACCAGUGUGUGUAAGGGUGUGUGUAUCAAGGUUACCCUUCAGGGUGAAUAGUUUCCCACAUUCCUUACAUUCAUAGUUCUUCACACCAGUGUGUGUAAGGGUGUGUCUAUCAAGGUGACCCUUCCGGAUGAAUUGUUUCCCACAUUCCUUACAUUCAUAGUUCUUCACACCAGUGUGUGUAAGGGUGUGUGUAUCAAGGUGACCCUUCAGGGUGAAUUUUUUCCCACAUUCCUUACAUUCAUAGUUCUUCACACCAGUGUGUGUAAGGGUGUGUGUAUCAAGGCUACCCUUCCGGUUGAAUUUUUUUCCACAUUCCUUACAUUCAUAGUUCUUCACACCAGUGUGUGUAAGGGUGUGUG